UGAAAUUUAAUAAAUUUUAAGAAAGUAAAUAAAAAUAAAACUAGGAUUAGAUACCCUAUUAUUUUUUAGUUAUAUUAAAGUAGUAAAUUAUAAUAACAAAACUUAAUUUUUUUGGCGGUUUUCUAUAUAUUCACAGGAACUUGUAUAAUUAAAAAGAUAACCCACUUUUAAUUUUACCUUUUUUAUUUUUUUGUACGGUUGUUAGAUAAAGAUUUAUUUUUUUUUCUCAAAAAAUAAAAUAUUUUUAAUUCAGAUCAAUGUGAAGAUAAUAAAAAGGAUUAUAUGAGUUACAAAAAUUAGAAAAAUUAAUUUCAUAAAUUUUUAAAAAUGGAUGUGAAACGUAAAAAUUUAAUAAAAAUAAAUUUUGAAUUAUUCCUAGAAAAAGUACAUAUCGCCCGUCACUCUUAUAAAUUAGAUAAGUCGUAACAAAGUAGAAAUACUGGAAA
Molecule: ribosomal RNA, 446 nt
Filed under: Sarcoptes scabiei
Lineage: Eukaryota; Metazoa; Arthropoda; Arachnida; Sarcoptiformes; Sarcoptidae
Description: 12S ribosomal RNA
Source: RNAcentral